GCAGUCGAGCGGUAAGGCCUUUCGGGGUACACGAGCGGCGAACGGGUGAGUAACACGUGGGUGAUCUGCCCUGCACUCUGGGAUAAGCUUGGGAAACUGGGUCUAAUACCGGAUAUGACCACAGCAUGCAUGUGUUGUGGUGGAAAGAUUUAUCGGUGCAGGAUGGGCCCGCGGCCUAUCAGCUUGUUGGUGGGGUAAUGGCCUACCAAGGCGACGACGGGUAGCCGACCUGAGAGGGUGACCGGCCACACUGGGACUGAGACACGGCCCAGACUCCUACGGGAGGCAGCAGUGGGGAAUAUUGCACAAUGGGCGGAAGCCUGAUGCAGCGACGCCGCGUGAGGGAUGAAGGCCUUCGGGUUGUAAACCUCUUUCAGCAGGGACGAAGCGUGAGUGACGGUACCUGCAGAAGAAGCACCGGCUAACUACGUGCCAGCAGCCGCGGUAAUACGUAGGGUGCGAGCGUUGUCCGGAAUUACUGGGCGUAAAGAGUUCGUAGGCGGUUUGUCGCGUCGUUUGUGAAAACCCGGGGCUCAACUUCGGGCUUGCAGGCGAUACGGGCAGACUUGAGUGUUUCAGGGGAGACUGGAAUUCCUGGUGUAGCGGUGAAAUGCGCAGAUAUCAGGAGGAACACCGGUGGCGAAGGCGGGUCUCUGGGAAACAACUGA
This 668-nucleotide ribosomal RNA is filed under the name bacterium 42-L049658-122-015-B06. RNAcentral describes it as "bacterial SSU rRNA". It matches the Rfam family "Bacterial small subunit ribosomal RNA", at positions 57 to 743 of the family's 1533-position model. The record is from RNAcentral.